This 640-nucleotide ribosomal RNA is filed under the name uncultured Russula. Its description in RNAcentral is "eukaryotic LSU rRNA". The stretch from base 205 to 358 matches the Rfam family "5.8S ribosomal RNA". The record is from RNAcentral. Lineage: Eukaryota; Fungi; Basidiomycota; Agaricomycetes; Russulales; Russulaceae.
GAGGAUCAUUAUCGUAAAACAGAGGUGCGAGGGCUGUCGCUGACUUGAAAAGGUCGUGCACGCCCGAGCGCUCUCACACAUCCAUCUCACCCCUAUGUGCACCACCGCGUGGGUCCCCUUUUCGAAGGGGGCUCGCGUUUUCACACAAACUCGAAACGCAGUGUAGAAUGUCUUUUUAUUUUUGCGAUCACACGCAAUCAAUACAACUUUCAACAACGGAUCUCUUGGCUCUCGCAUCGAUGAAGAACGCAGCGAAAUGCGAUACGUAAUGUGAAUUGCAGAAUUCAGUGAAUCAUCGAAUCUUUGAACGCACCUUGCGCCCCUUGGCAUUCCGAGGGGCACACCCGUUUGAGUGUCGUGAAAUUCUCAAAACCUUUCUUUUGAAAGGAUUUUGGACUUGGAGGCUUUUUGCUGGCUUCAACUCGAAGCCAGCUCCUCUUAAAUGGAUUAGUGGGGUCCGCUUUGCCGAUCCUUGACGUGAUAAGAUGUUUCUACGUCUUGGGUUUUCGGCACCGUCGCCCGCUUCUAACCGUCUCAUUGACAACGAUGGUGUUCCGGUCACCGCAGAUUCGUCUGCGGGAGGCUUGACCCACGAACGAACCUUGACCUCAAAUCGGGUGAGACUACCCGCUGAACUUAA